RNAcentral lists this ribosomal RNA (491 nucleotides) under uncultured bacterium. RNAcentral describes it as "partial 16S ribosomal RNA". It matches the Rfam family "Bacterial small subunit ribosomal RNA", at positions 29 to 507 of the family's 1533-position model. The record is from RNAcentral.
AGUGAACGCUGGCGGUAGGCCUAACACAUGCAAGUCGAACGGCGGCACAGUAAGAGCUUGCUCUUACGGGUGGCGAGUGGCGGACGGGUGAGGAAUACAUCGGAAUCUACUUUUUCGUGGGGGAUAACGUAGGGAACUUACGCUAAUACCGCAUACGACCUACGGGUGAAAGCAGGGGAUCUUCGGACCUUGCGCGAUUGAAUGAGCCGAUGUCGGAUUAGCUAGUUGGCGGGGUAAAGGCCCACCAAGGCGACGAUCCGUAGCUGGUCUGAGAGGAUGAUCAGCCACACUGGAACUGAGACACGGUCCAGACUCCUACGGGAGGCAGCAGUGGGGAAUAUUGGACAAUGGGCGCAAGCCUGAUCCAGCCAUACCGCGUGGGUGAAGAAGGCCUUCGGGUUGUAAAGCCCUUUUGUUGGGAAAGAAAAGCAGCAGGUUAAUACCCCGCUGUUCUGACGGUACCCAAAGAAUAAGCACCGGCUAACUUCGUG